RNAcentral lists this transfer RNA (71 nucleotides) under Beta vulgaris subsp. vulgaris (sugar beet). It matches the Rfam family "tRNA". Rfam says of the family: Transfer RNA (tRNA) molecules are approximately 80 nucleotides in length. Their secondary structure includes four short double-helical elements and three loops (D, anti-codon, and T loops). The record is from Rfam by way of RNAcentral. Lineage: Eukaryota; Viridiplantae; Streptophyta; Magnoliopsida; Caryophyllales; Amaranthaceae.
UGUUCCAUCGUCUAGCGGUCUAGGACGCUGGCCUUGUGCCGGAAACGUGGGUUCGAAUCCCAUUGGAACAG